UCCUGGGUGGGGAGUGGCCCUGCCCGCGGCCUCGGGGCUGGCUCUCGGAGGUGGCCGCGUGAGGGACCCAGGGGACCUGGGGAUCCAGGGCCCACAUGUGCUGGUGGCUCCAAAUAGGAGGUCACAGCAGCGGGGUCCUCAUCCCCAGAGGCUGGGGGCUGAUGGGCCUCGUCUCCACCACGAGGUGGCCAUGCAAGGUGGGGUGGCUGCACCUGGUGCUCAGGGAAGGACCCUAGUGGGGCAUGCAAGGGGCAUCCUGGCUGCUGGGAUCGUGGCUCCCUGGUGGGAGGAUUUCCUACGCCCCUUCCCCGCCUCUGAGCACUGCAGCUGCCUGGCGGGGACCCGGGCUCAGUUCCUCCAUUUUACCUGGUUUAAAGCCGAGCUCUGUCCGUAGUGUCCCCCCAGCAAAGUGCAGAGUCCACCGCGCCGGGGCCUACCCAGGCUGUCAGCCAAGGGAACUUGAGCUCUGCUGUUCAGGCCUCACACUGGCACCCCAUGGCUUCCUUGGGGGGCUUUGUGAAGGCCCCAGCAUUGCCUGGCACUGGGGAAUGGUUAGUUACGUUUUCCUGGUCAACUCCAAUUCGUGCGUGAAAACCCCAGCUGCCACAUCCUUCAGUCAGGGCUUCCCCAGCUUUUGAAUCUCCAAUCUGCCCAUCUCCGACUACCUAUUACCAGACAAAGGGUGGACAUCUGUCCAGCUCUCUCAAAAAUGGGGAAGGUGAAGUGCUAAGCUGAACACUGAGGCCCACCAGCUGAGUGAGGCUUAGGGAGCCAUCUAGGGG
Long non-coding RNA from Dipodomys ordii (Ord's kangaroo rat), 782 nucleotides. RefSeq lists it as uncharacterized. NCBI's taxonomy places the organism in Eukaryota, Metazoa, Chordata, Mammalia, Rodentia, Heteromyidae. The transcript has 3 exons. The record is from RefSeq and is a predicted model, not a curated record.